CCCUUGCAACCCGCUCCCCACCUUCCCCCCGGCACUGCAAUCAUCCCAGGCCCCCUCCGUGCUCACUGUGGAUAUGUGGUUCUCGGUGGUGAGCUCCCUAUGGUGUGUGAUGAGUGGGCCGUCGCCACGCUCGUCCCCGAGGUCUCUACUGAGGAGUUUCAUGGCGCCAUCGCUUUGAUCACCAACUUCUUGGAGGGGCAUGGAUGGCGCAUGAACUACACUUCUCGUUGUGGUAUGGGCACUGCUUUGAUUCAGUUUACUACUGCUUGCUCCUGAGAUACUGCUAUCAGUCAUAGCUCGUUUUAGAGUGGAGACUCUGUUCUUAGAAUUAGCAGACAGGACAGAGGCAUUAAUUACCGCAGCAUUACUUUCACGCAUGAUAUUCGGAUCCUGCACAUGAACUAUCCUCUUGAGUGUUUGGAUGUGGGUGUUAUCUGUCGCACUGUAUCUCCCUAUGACUGUUUUCUGAUUUGGAACAAAGAUCCGAGGGACAAAUCGAGGGUUAUUGUCAAGCUCAGGGUCAUGAAUGGUGACACCAUACCUAUUAGCAUUGUUGUACUGAUAAACCUCGAUGAUGUUGGUUAUGGCGACUCUUGGACCUGCCCCACUUACAUUCUGUCUAGAGAGUUGAUUGGUCAGCAAGGUGGUGAUGAGGAUCCACUAACCCCCAAUGGUGGAAAUCCUCACCCUCUUCCUCAUGUUCAUGUAGGUUUUUGGCAUGAUGAGGUUUUAGGGAAUAUUCCUAUGGAUCAAGUAGUUAUCAAUCCUCACAAUGAGAAUCUUGGUGCACCUUAUGAAGAUGUUCAUGCGGCCCACAAUGAUCAUGUGAAUCAUGUUGCUGGUCAGACUGUCUCUGUUGCUGAUGUUGAUGAAGUACAGACUGUUGAUCCUAAUGCUACUGAACAUGUGGUUGCUCCUGACAUGGAGGAAGUGCAGGCUCCCAUUCAGAUACAUGUCAACACACACUAUGUUGCCCCACAUGAGACUCUUGGACCUAAUUAUAUCGGAAUUGAUCCUAUGUCUUCCCAACACAACUCCUAG
RNAcentral lists this ribosomal RNA (1041 nucleotides) under Triticum aestivum (bread wheat). RNAcentral describes it as "partial small subunit ribosomal RNA". Lineage: Eukaryota; Viridiplantae; Streptophyta; Magnoliopsida; Poales; Poaceae. The record is from RNAcentral.